GGGCCCGUAGCUCAGCUAGGUAGAGCGGCGGGCUUUUAACCCGUAGGUCCCGGGUUCAAAUCCCGGCGGGCCCGCCA
RNAcentral lists this transfer RNA (77 nucleotides) under Ignisphaera aggregans. RNAcentral's name for it is "tRNA-Lys". It matches the Rfam family "tRNA". Rfam says of the family: Transfer RNA (tRNA) molecules are approximately 80 nucleotides in length. Their secondary structure includes four short double-helical elements and three loops (D, anti-codon, and T loops). Lineage: Archaea; Thermoproteati; Thermoproteota; Thermoprotei; Desulfurococcales; Desulfurococcaceae. RNAcentral also lists the same sequence under 6 other names. The record is from RNAcentral.